RNAcentral lists this ribosomal RNA (697 nucleotides) under uncultured bacterium. RNAcentral's name for it is "bacterial SSU rRNA". It matches the Rfam family "Bacterial small subunit ribosomal RNA", at positions 134 to 851 of the family's 1533-position model. The record is from RNAcentral.
UACACACGGAUAACAUACCGAAAGGUAUGCUAAUACGGGAUAAUAUAUUUGAGAGGCAUCUCUUGAAUAUCAAAGGUGAGCCAGUACAGGAUGGACCCGCGUCUGAUUAGCUAGUUGGUAAGGUAACGGCUUACCAAGGCGACGAUCAGUAGCCGACCUGAGAGGGUGAUCGGCCACAUUGGAACUGAGACACGGUCCAAACUCCUACGGGAGGCAGCAGUGGGGAAUAUUGCACAAUGGGCGAAAGCCUGAUGCAGCAACGCCGCGUGAGUGAUGAAGGCCUUCGGGUCGUAAAACUCUGUCCUCAAGGAAGAUAAUGACGGUACUUGAGGAGGAAGCCCCGGCUAACUACGUGCCAGCAGCCGCGGUAAUACGUAGGGGGCUAGCGUUAUCCGGAUUUACUGGGCGUAAAGGGUGCGUAGGCGGUCUUUCAAGUCAGGAGUGAAAGGCUACGGCUCAACCGUAGUAAGCUCUUGAAACUGGGAGACUUGAGUGCAGGAGAGGAGAGUGGAAUUCCUAGUGUAGCGGUGAAAUGCGUAGAUAUUAGGAGGAACACCAGUUGCGAAGGCGGCUCUCUGGACUGUAACUGACGCUGAGGCACGAAAGCGUGGGGAGCAAACAGGAUUAGAUACCCUGGUAGUCCACGCUGUAAACGAUGAGUACUAGGUGUCGGGGGUUACCCCCUUCGGUGCCGCAG